Molecule: ribosomal RNA, 636 nt
Filed under: Trachypachus slevini
Lineage: Eukaryota; Metazoa; Arthropoda; Insecta; Coleoptera; Trachypachidae
Description: partial large subunit ribosomal RNA
Rfam family: Bacterial large subunit ribosomal RNA (bases 389-547)
Source: RNAcentral
GUCUUUUUGAAUUUAAUUUAAAGUCUAGCCUGCCCACUGAAAAUUUUAAAUGGCCGCAGUAAUUUGACUGUGCAAAGGUAGCAUAAUCAUUAGUUUUUUAAUUAAAAGCUUGUAUGAAAGGUUGGACGAGGUAAAAUCUGUCUCUAUUUAAUUUAAAAUAGAAUUUAAUUUUUAAGUUAAAAAGCUUAAAUAAAAUUAAAAGACGAGAAGACCCUAUAGAGCUUUAUAAUUUUUAUAUUAAAAUUUAUAAAGAAUAUUUUACAUUUUAUUAUAAUAAAUUAUUUUAUUGGGGUAAUAAAAAGAUUAAAAAAAUUCUUUUUGAAUAAUUACAUUAAUUUAUGAUUUAUAUGAUCCAAUUUUAUUGAUUAUAAGAUUAAGUUACCUUAGGGAUAACAGCGUAAUUUUUUUAGAGAGUUCAUAUCGAUAAAAAAGUUUGCGACCUCGAUGUUGGAUUAAAAAUUAAUUUAGGUGCAGAAGCUUAAAUAUUUGGUCUGUUCGACCAUUAAAUUUUUACAUGAUCUGAGUUCAGACCGGUGUAAGCCAGGUCGGUUUCUAUCUUUAAUUAAUUAAAAUAUUUUAGUACGAAAGGACCAAAUAUUUAAUAUAUUUAUAUUUAUAAAUUUGAAUAUUAUUAAA